GCUGCAGCAGAUCUUCCGCCUGACCUUGACUUUGAACAUGAAAUCGCUGCCAGACUGCAGAGAGUACGGAGGUCAGUGUGAAGGAUGGAGAGAAAAAAAAAGACCUUUGAUUUUAAACAUUAAAAAUAUUUGGAAAAUGGAAGACACAAACAAGGAAAAAAAAACAAAAAACUGAAAACAAAGAAAAAUGAACAAAAAAGUGUGUUAAAUGUCAAAUUAAAUAACUGCAUGUUACUGAUCUUUGCAGGAGAAGAUGAGAGUUAAAGAGCUUGGACCUGGUCUUCGCAGGAGAAGAUGAAGGUUAAAGAGCUUGGACCUGAUCUUUGUAGAAGAAGAUGAGAGUUAAAGAGUGUCGACCUGGUCUUUGCAGGAGAAGAUGAAGGUUAAACAGCGUGGGCCUAAUCUUUGCAGAAGAUAAGGGGUAAAGAGCUUGGACCUGAUCCUUGCAGGAGAAAGAGUUUGGGAAGAGUUUGGACCUAAUGUUUGCAGGAUAAGAUGCGGGUCAAAGAG
Xyrichtys novacula (pearly razorfish) is the source of this 510-nucleotide non-coding RNA. Lineage: Eukaryota; Metazoa; Chordata; Actinopteri; Labriformes; Labridae. The record is from the annotation of a GenBank genome assembly.